Papaver somniferum (opium poppy) is the source of this 2945-nucleotide long non-coding RNA. RefSeq lists it as uncharacterized. The transcript has 5 exons. Lineage: Eukaryota; Viridiplantae; Streptophyta; Magnoliopsida; Ranunculales; Papaveraceae. The record is from RefSeq and is a predicted model, not a curated record.
AAUAAAAUCAAAUAAAAAAAAAAAAAAUGCUUUCUGUUUCGCUCAAUUUCUGCUCUCACAUCUUCUUCCUUUUCCUCUAUUUGGUAAUCUCACAUAUAUCCAUCAUCAUGAACAAUAUCAACUAAUGUUCCAGUGAAUGGGAAUAUCUUUAAUCCCGUUUGAUUAGGGUUUCGUUGUCAUCAUCAUCUCUAUUUUGAUUGAUGUUAUUAAGGUUCACUUUUUUAUUAGGGCUUUGUGAUCUGUAUAUCCAUAUCAAACAUACCGAUAUCUGUACAACCCUAUUCUCUGAUUUCAGAACCGUAAUCUGAUUAACUAACUCUUUCGUUUUAUUUGUUACAGAGAUUAACGUUGAUUCACGGUUGAGUUUUUGUAGAAAGAAGAAAUCCCAUCGAGACCAAAGUAAUAUGAACCAAGUUUUGUGUUUAGGGUUUCAAUUAAAUCUUUGUCUACUGUUGAUUCUUCGUCUCUUUUAUUAACGAUAACAAUAUGCUUUCCUAAGAGCAAAACCCUGCAUUCCUAACGCUAUUCUCAUCCAUCAAUUUCUUUGAUUUGUGUUUGGGGUAUUUAUUUUUCUCCUUCCGGAAUCUUCACAACCCUAAUCAAAAUCGCGCCUAUUUUUAAAUUCUUCUUUUACUUAUUGUCUUACAAACGAUCUUUUGUUGUAGGUUAUGAUCUUUUAUCAUUUCUUUAUUCUGUUCAUUUUACUGCCUUAAAGUUUUGCUAAUUAUAUUUCUUUUCUUCGAUUUUGUAGUUCUUUUUUCAUGGCCUGAUGAAGACGGUUGGUGCAAUUAAAAGGAUACUUUUUCGUAUUGAGUGUAGAAUGAAACCAUUUCAUUUGUGUAUUCUUUGAUUCAUGUUCUUAUCAGUAGAAGACACAUUUUUGGCUGGUGACAUUUAUCAUGGUUACUACUGCUAAUCCUAGCUUCUUAAUUGUUCACGGACGUAAGUAGUUGUCGGGAGAGUGAUAAGUAAUAUAUGGGUAUUUGAAAAAUGAAAAAUGACUCAGAAAAUUAGACUGAACGGAGUGGUAUUGAUGGACUCAUUGGGUUCCCUGGAUUUAGACUUGGCAGCAAUCAAAAGAGCUUUGAUGAUAUCUUCAUUGAAAUUCUUGGUUCCGGUCUUUCGCAGUGUACGGGUUCACUAAGUGGUGCUUACAACUCCACGAACCAGAAGUGUUAUACCGGAGAUCUAUGUUUGGUAAAACCCCUGUGCUUUACGUGUUUUUGUGCAAGAACAUGCUGAGAUAGGAGUGGCCAGCUUUGAACACUUGAUUCUAUUAUUAAUUUCGGAUGUACCUCAAUGUUUCUUCAGACUCCAACAAGCCUAAGCAAAACACCAUUGGAAACCCUUAAACCUGUCUCCUCCCUCUCUUUCAGAAAUAGGACAACAAAGAUUGGGUCUCAAUUAAAACUUUCCAAUCUCUUCUGUAAGUCUAAUAAUUCAACACUUAGGGUUUCAAAAUUCACCCCCCUGCCCGUGAAGAGGUUACGGAAAUCACUGAGGUAGAAGAAGAAGAAGCUGAGACACAGGAAGAUGAGGAGGAUGAUGCUCCCUUGGAAGAGUUAAUUGAUGAUGCUGAAGAAAAAUCAACCUCAGUCAUCAUGGCAUCACUGCAGUCAUAUAAAGAAGCUCUGGCGAACAAUGAUGAGUCUACUGUUUCUGAAAUAGAAGCUUUCCUCCAAUCCAUUGAAGUAGAGAAAGUAUCUCUUGCAAAUGAAGUGAAAACCUUGACUGAAGAACUUGCUUCUAUGAAGGACCGGACUCUUAGAAUUGGUGCAGAUUUUGAUAAUUUCAGGAAGAGAACAGAGAGAGAACGACUAUCACUUGUGACAAAUGUACAAGGGGAGGUGGUCGAGAGUUUUUUUGUCUGUCAUGGAUAAUUUUGAGAGAGCUAAAUCUCAAAUUAAGGCAGAGACUGAAGGAGAGGAGAAGAUCAACAAUAGCUACCAGAGCAUUUAUAAGCAGUUCCUCGAGGUUCUGGGAUCCCUUGGUGUUGUAUCCGUGGAGACAGUUGGGCAUCCAUUUGAUCCGUUGGUCUUGAUCUGGGCAUUCAAGGAUUACUUUAAGGACUGAGGUGUUUAAAUAGUUCACUGGUAACUUCGCAUAUGACGGUGAUGCUGGUGUAUUUGUACUUCUUUUUUACUCACCUAGCCCACUUUAUAUAUUUAUCAUGUGCAGCUGCCUUUGUCUUCAAUGUAACUUUAGACCUUACAGUAUGGUAGCUCUAUUAAUUUGCUUGAAAUGCAUUUACUGUCUUGAAAUGAAUAUGAUAUAAUUAACAUAUAACCAGUGGAGAUGUAGAAAAUAUAAGUAGUUAUGAAGCUCUUCGGCAUACAGGGAAUUGGCAUUUGUUGUAAAUUUAAACAACUUUUUUUUUUGUUAUGAAUGUAGUCAUCUUCAAAUAGUAUGAAAAAUUAGUUUAUUGGUAUAAUAGAGUAGAUGACAUUUAUGGAAAGCUACAAGUGCUUGACUAAGAAACAGUGACUAGGGACUGCAUUGUUUCCAAGUUGGUCAUUGUUAUUGUAUGUAUUACAGGUCUUUGCUCCUUUGGUAAAGAUCAUAAGCGCGAUAUGUACUAGAAGUUUGUCACACCUGCUACUAGAAAUGAUCUUGAUACUGGUACGAUCGUCUACAGGAACUGAAAGUCCUAGCCAUGGCAGUGAGAAGAAUACGGUCGCGGGUAUCGGAGUUGGAUUUUAGUUCUACGGCUUUAAUGAUAAAGUUUACCACGUCGUCUUUGUAUCCUACACUCAUCCACUGAACAUCCUUAUGUGAGUAUCUAAGAAUUUGAGAAGUUUGUUUUUUUGGAUAUGAGAUGCGAAUGUAACAAGAUGCAGUGAGAACAAUAAUGGAGUAGCUGUAGUACUUGAGAAUUGUAUAAGAUCGUAAUUGCUGUUAUGGAUACAGAAUAUGUUGAAAUUAAGUUCUUUUGGUAGAUGCUAUAA